RNAcentral lists this ribosomal RNA (371 nucleotides) under uncultured bacterium. Its description in RNAcentral is "bacterial SSU rRNA". It matches the Rfam family "Bacterial small subunit ribosomal RNA", at positions 29 to 390 of the family's 1533-position model. The record is from RNAcentral.
AACGAACGCUGGCGGCGCGCCUAAUACAUGCAAGUCGAGCGAGAAGACGUAGCAAUACGUUUGUAAAGCGGCGAACGGGUGAGGAAUACAUGGGUAACCUACCCUCGAGUGGGGAAUAACUAGCCGAAAGGUUAGCUAAUACCGCGUACGCUCCUUGGACUUCGGUUCAGGGAGGAAAGCGAUACCGUGGGUAUCGCGCUCUUGGAUGGGCUCAUGUCCUAUCAGCUUGUUGGUGAGGUAACGGCUCACCAAGGCUUCGACGGGUAGCUGGUCUGAGAGGACGAUCAGCCACACUGGCACUGCGACACGGGCCAGACUCCUACGGGAGGCAGCAGUAAGGAAUAUUGCGCAAUGGGCGAAAGCCUGACGCA